This 400-nucleotide transfer-messenger RNA is filed under the name Marinifilaceae. RNAcentral describes it as "RGIG9079 sp017936285 Standard tmRNA". It matches the Rfam family "transfer-messenger RNA". From Rfam's summary of the family: Bacterial tmRNA, also known as 10Sa RNA or SsrA, is named for its dual tRNA and mRNA-like properties. Its role is to liberate the mRNA from a stalled ribosome. The record is from RNAcentral. RNAcentral also lists the same sequence under 1 other name. Lineage: Bacteria; Pseudomonadati; Bacteroidota; Bacteroidia; Marinilabiliales.
GGGGCAGACCUGGAUUUGACAGCGUGUAGAAUAGGUAUGUAAGCAUGUCGGGCGCAGCGAAACCGUCCCGUAAAACUCGGACGCAGAAAUUUUAAUUGGCGAGAAUAACUACGCUCUUGCUGCCUAAUCGAAGUAUAGUAGAUAGGGCUUAAUCUCGGUGCAAGGCGCUGAGACAAGACAUCCGGUUGAUGGUUUUACCUCAUUCCUCUCAACGUAUCGGGUGCUGGCAAUAUGGGGUUAGUCAUGAAGUUCCUCGAUUUAUGACGAAAUUUUAGAGGAUAAGAUUCGGCAUUGGGUGCCUUUUCCCGAACCGGAUACGAAAAACAACAAAAGGAUAAGCAUGUAGAAAGCAUAUUGAUUCCAUGUUUGGACCAGGGUUCGAUUCCCUGCUGCUCCACCA